UUGGCCACUACACUGUAGUGUAUCAAGUCAUGAAAACCUAACCAUACAAGUAGGCUAUAAGCUUGACACACGUCUCCAAUAAUAAAUUGCAAGUUCAAUGCAUGCAACAGUAGCAAGAAAUUACCUUACUCUGAGCUUAUAAAUUUUAUGUUCUAACUUCAUACCUAUAUCCAUAUAGUGUUGAUACUUCAUUGUCAUUGUAACUAAUCAAUUAUGUAUUACCUUUCAGGGAUCUGUUUUUUGGUCCCAAGAAUGGUGAUUGUUCGCACAUUGAGCUAGCAAAGUCGAAUUCACGCAAACGUAACAGAGGUGGUGGUGAUGUGUACAGAGUUAUUGACAAGCGAGUACAUAGAACAGAGGAACAAUCUGACAAUGACAACAAUGGUGGUGAAGGUGAUGAUGAUUUCUCUGACAAUGGUGAUGGUGGUGACAAUGAUGGGCAGGAUGGACACAGAAAAUGACAAUUCCAAUGGCAAGGAUGAGUUACCUGCGGAUCAAAGAUCCCACAACUUAGUUUAAGGGAAUGAUGGGCGAACGUGGAGGAGUUGAUGAAGACAAUACUAAAUCCUAUAGGGAAAGGAUUAUUAUUCCACUAGCCAAGGACAAGCUAAGAUGGCUCCAUGGUCAUAUGAGAAGCGGAGUUUGUUUCUGUAGAUUGUGUGUGAUUUAUCUUUUACUUUCG
Lolium perenne is the source of this 682-nucleotide non-coding RNA. Lineage: Eukaryota; Viridiplantae; Streptophyta; Magnoliopsida; Poales; Poaceae. The record is from RefSeq and is a predicted model, not a curated record.